This 230-nucleotide ribosomal RNA is filed under the name uncultured bacterium. RNAcentral describes it as "partial 16S ribosomal RNA". It matches the Rfam family "Bacterial small subunit ribosomal RNA", at positions 333 to 578 of the family's 1533-position model. The record is from RNAcentral.
UUUCGCCUACGGGGGCAGCAGUGGGGGAUAUUGGACAAUGGGGGGAACCCUGAUCCAGCGACGCCGCGUGAGUGAAGAAGUAUUUCGGUAUGUAAAGCUCUGUCAGCAGGGAAGAAAGCAAUGACGGUACCUGACCAAGAAGCCCCGGCUAACUACGUGCCAGCAGCCGCGGUAAUACGUAGGGGGCAAGCGUUAUCCGGAUUUAUUGGGCGUAAAGCGAGUGCAGGCGG